RNAcentral lists this unclassified non-coding RNA (283 nucleotides) under Bombus terrestris (buff-tailed bumblebee). Its description in RNAcentral is "misc RNA ENSBTSG00005019861.1". Lineage: Eukaryota; Metazoa; Arthropoda; Insecta; Hymenoptera; Apidae. The record is from RNAcentral.
UACGUAGCAUCUUGAAGACAAGAUACGACUUAAUAACAAGCGGGAAAGAUAUAAGACCAUUUUUCUUGAAUUUUUGACGUUUGUGCCAUUUGGUGGCUAAAAGAAAGUAUUUUAAUAUGCAUUAUAAGUACGUAGAAGAAGUUUAACAUAAAGUACCAAGUUGGAGAAAGGAAUAAUCUACUAGACUCCAAGUUUGUAGAAGUAAUGUUACUAAUACUCGUUAAACAGAAAGUGACAAAAACAGAUAUUUGAUCCAAAAAUCAAAUGAAAAAAUAGCUUUGAU